UACGUAGGUGACAAGCGUUGUCCGGAUUUACUGGGCGUAAAGAGCGCGCAGGCGGUCUGUUGCGUCGGGCGUGAAAACUCAGGGCUUAACCCUGAGCCUGCUUCCGAUACGGGCAGACUAGAGGUAUGCAGGGGAGAACGGAAUUCCUGGUGUAGCGGUGAAAUGCGCAGAUAUCAGGAGGAACACCGGUGGCGAAGGCGGUUCUCUGGGCAUUACCUGACGCUGAGGAGCGAAAGUGUGGGGAGCGAACAGG
Molecule: ribosomal RNA, 253 nt
Filed under: uncultured bacterium
Lineage: Bacteria
Description: partial 16S ribosomal RNA
Rfam family: Bacterial small subunit ribosomal RNA
Source: RNAcentral